Molecule: small nucleolar RNA, 89 nt
Organism: Cephalotus follicularis
Lineage: Eukaryota; Viridiplantae; Streptophyta; Magnoliopsida; Oxalidales; Cephalotaceae
Rfam family: Small nucleolar RNA snoR20a
About the family: The O.sativum sequence was obtained from the plant snoRNA database.
Source: Rfam
GCCCGUGAUGACAAAUUGGUUUACAACUGAAAGCAAAUUGUUAUAUUUGAAUAAUUGUUGAUAGUCAUUGAACUAGGACGGUCUGAGGC